Non-coding RNA from Arachis ipaensis, 394 nucleotides. NCBI's taxonomy places the organism in Eukaryota, Viridiplantae, Streptophyta, Magnoliopsida, Fabales, Fabaceae. The record is from RefSeq and is a predicted model, not a curated record.
AACGGAUGCUGGUGACGUUGCAACGGAGGCAGGGCGCAUUGCAACGGAUACUGGGAUCGUUGCAACGGAAGCUAGGGGCGUUGCAACGUUGGCUGGGGGCGUUGCAACGGAGGCAGGUCGCGUUGCAACGGAUGCUGGGGUCGUUGCAACGGAUGCUGCGCGCGUUGCAACGUUGGCUGGGAGCGUUGCAGCGGAGGCAGGUCGCCGUUGCAACGGAGGCAGGGCGCGUUGCAACAUUGGCUGGGGGCGUUGCAACGGAUGCUGGGCGCGUUGCAACGUUGGCUGGGGGCGGUGCAACGGAUGCUGGGGGCGGUGCAUCGUUGGCUGGUUUCGUUGCACCGGAGGCACCCGCCGUUGCAACGAUGGCUCGGAGCGUUGCAACGAAGGAGCCAAA